GAUGAAGAACGCAGCGAAAUGCGAUACUUGGUGUGAAUUGCAGAAUCCCGUGAACCAUCGAGUCUUUGAACACAAGUUGCGCCCGAAGCCACUAGGCCGAGGGCACGCCUGCCUGGGCGUCACACGCCGUUGCCCCCCCAUCUACUCCUUCGGGAUUGCGGGGGGGCGGAUGAUGGCCUCCCGUGCGCCUAGCCGCGCGGUUGGCAUAAAUACCAAGUCCUCGGCGACGCACGCCACGACAAUCGGUGGUUGCGAAACCUCGGUUGCCCGUCGUGUGCGUUCGUCGCGCAUCGAGGGCUCGAAAAAAUGCUCGGCUCCGGCUGGGCUUUCAACGCGACCCCAGGUCAGGCGGGGUUACCCGCUGAAUUUAAGCAUAUCAAUAAGCGGAGGA
Molecule: unclassified non-coding RNA, 391 nt
Filed under: soil metagenome
Description: partial contains 5.8S ribosomal RNA, internal transcribed spacer 2, and large subunit ribosomal RNA
Rfam family: 5.8S ribosomal RNA (bases 1-122)
Source: RNAcentral